The sequence is a transfer RNA, 82 nucleotides long. It matches the Rfam family "tRNA". From Rfam's summary of the family: Transfer RNA (tRNA) molecules are approximately 80 nucleotides in length. Their secondary structure includes four short double-helical elements and three loops (D, anti-codon, and T loops). The record is from Rfam.
GGAUGGGUGGCCGAGUGGUUAAGGCGGCAGAUUCAAGUCCUGUUGACGUAAAGUCGCGCGAGUUCGAAUCUCGCCUCAUUCA